AAGAGGAGGAGGAGAAGUCAUAGACAUGCGGACAGUUCUGCUGAAUCAAGUGAUGAAUCGCCUCCAAGGCACAAGCGUAGGAGCAGGAGAGCAGCAGCCUCAGCAUCUGAUUCUGACGCCAGCAACUCUGAUGAUGCACGAGUAGGCAGGGACAAAAAACGUUCUGAGAAGAGGAGCAGGAAACGUCAUGAUGAUGAAGAGUAGUAAUGUACCCCUGAAAGGAGAUUUAUCAUCUACUAUCUGGAUUGCAGGUCCAUUUCUUUCUAUGGAACUUGCUUAUCUAGGAACUGUGUGUAUUUUUCAUUGUCUAUUCAUCUUUUGCCUCAACAAAUACUCGUCUGCUUGUAAUUUUCCCUUCAUGGUCCUGAGUAUUGUUCAACUGAUGUUGCAGUACUGCAUCAGUUAUUCAGGAUAUUGCUAUCCUUGUUGAACUUGCAUCAUGUUAUCCUUUUGAAGGUUUUGUGGGAUUAUUAGUUACAAUCCGCAACUUGUGCAACUUCAUAGGGUGGUAAUAGUUGAAGUGAUAUAU
Molecule: unclassified non-coding RNA, 529 nt
Filed under: Hevea brasiliensis (rubber tree)
Lineage: Eukaryota; Viridiplantae; Streptophyta; Magnoliopsida; Malpighiales; Euphorbiaceae
Source: RNAcentral